AGCAUUAUCAGCAGGAACUAAAACAGAAUAAAUGACCAAGGUUCUAUAUACAGUUAAAGAGAAGAUUAUAUAUCAAGGUCAUUCAGGACCCUCUCGAGCCUGCAUCACCUCCAGGAAUCCAGAGAACCUUUGGGAGGCUAAAUGCAGGACCAAGAAAGUGGAGGUUUAUGUAGUGGGCCAUCAGAGUGUGAAGAGAAAAUGAACCUAGAAAGGACCACAACAGGAUUCUCAGCCGGACUCCUUUUUGUGUGAGGCAUGUGCAGUCGUCUAACUGCUGUGAGCCAGCUGAAUGUGGUGGAAAUGUAUAUUAUGGGAUGUGCCACGGUUACCAGGGCAAACAGUGAGCAAAGGAGCACAAGCAUGAGAGAACACAGGCCCCCAACUGCAGGUAGGUGAUCUGUGGCUGGGUGCAGCGGUUCAGUAGCAUUCCUCAACUCGUUGUUGUGCUUAACGAAGGAAAUCUCAACAUGCUUAUUAGACUGACAGUAUCAUGUUAUUUGAUAAAAAUUUUUAAAAUAACGAAAUAAUACUGCAUGAGACCAUGUCAUGCGUUAUAGGCCAUGCAGAAAAGAACUGUGCCCUAGUUGUGGUAACAGGAGUAACAUAGUAGUGGGAUUAUCCAUACAAGUGUACUCAUGUGAAAUCCUUAUCUUUGUCACGUAGGGAGAGAAAAACAAACAUAAAACAUAGAAUUAACUGUUGAUUAUAAUUUAGUGAAGGAUGAACACAUCUAGGUUACUUAUUAACACUAUCUUGUAGUUGAACAGGCUAUUAAGUAACACAGAGCUCUGAUACAGAUUGAGGAAAAAGGUAAAUUGUAAGGGAACCUGCACUCUUCACUUAGUGCUACCAUUAGGGAGUGUAUCACGUACCCCCAGGAAAUCAGUUUAAUUUCCUUUUCCUUAAUGUCUUUCAUCCAUUUUGUCAAUUUAAGCUGCAGAUAGUUAAGGUGGGAUUUAAUGUGUUUGUGUGUGUGUUUGUUUUGUUUUGUUUUUGUUUAUUUUUGUGGUUUUUUUGUUUGCUUGGGUUAUUUUUUUGUUACGAUAUUGUUUCCUCAGUCUGUAUCAGAACUAUGUUACAUACUGAAGUCCAUAAUACUGUAGUGUAGUUACAUGGACUGAUGAGACC
Molecule: long non-coding RNA, 1128 nt
Organism: Columba livia (rock pigeon)
Lineage: Eukaryota; Metazoa; Chordata; Aves; Columbiformes; Columbidae
Exons: 3
Source: RefSeq, a predicted model, not a curated record